This 731-nucleotide small RNA is filed under the name Pan troglodytes (chimpanzee). Its description in RNAcentral is "retained intron". The record is from RNAcentral. Lineage: Eukaryota; Metazoa; Chordata; Mammalia; Primates; Hominidae.
GGGGCAUAAGCCUAGGCCCCACCCAGUGCCCGACUAUGAGCUAAGGAGGCCCAAGUUGCAGCCCGGGUUUGGAGGGAGUUUGAGAUGAAGCGAAUGGUGAGUCUUGCAUCCCACAGCUUGGUCUUGCACCCCUGAGACUUUUCUGUGAGGCUGGGGUGCCUGUGCCCAGUUUCUUUUUUUUUCUUUGUUUUGAGACAGAAUCUCGCUCUGUCACCCAGGCGGGAGUGCAGUGGUAUGAUCUCAGCUCACUGCAACCUCAGCCUCCCGGGUUCCAGCGGUUCUCCUGCCUCAGCUGGGAUCACAGGUGCCCACCAUCGUGCCUGGCAAAUUUUUGUAUUUGUAGUAGAGAUGGGGUUUCACCAUGUUGGCCAGGCUGGUCUCGAACUCCUUACCUCAAGUGAUCUGCCCACCUCGGCCUCCCAGACUGCUGGGAUUACAGGCAUGAGCUACCUUGCCCGGCUCACCCGGUCGCCUGUGCCCAGUUUCAAGGAGAGAAAAUUGAGGCUCGGAGAAUGAAAGGCAGAGAGUUAAGCAGCUUGAAGGCCACAGGGCAGACUGCUGCAAAGACUUCUGGGUCUCGCCCUGCCUAGGAUCCUGGCUUCCUGGACAAGCAGGCUCGCUGCCACUACCUGAAGGGUAAACUGAGGCAUCUCAAGACUCAGAUCCAGAAAUUCGAUGACCAAGGAGACAGCGAGGGCUCCGUGUACUUCUAAGUGCCCCUGCAGAUGGGC